Molecule: non-coding RNA, 135 nt
Organism: Triticum aestivum (bread wheat)
Lineage: Eukaryota; Viridiplantae; Streptophyta; Magnoliopsida; Poales; Poaceae
Source: Rfam
AUAAUACUUCCUCUGUCCUAAAAUUCUUGUCUUAGAUUUGUCUAAAUACAGAUGUUCCAAGUCACGUUUUAGUAUUAGAUACAUCCGUAUCUAGACAAAUCUAAGACAAGAAUUUUAGGGUAGAGGGAGUAUGAA